Molecule: ribosomal RNA, 452 nt
Filed under: uncultured Streptococcus sp.
Lineage: Bacteria; Bacillati; Bacillota; Bacilli; Lactobacillales; Streptococcaceae
Description: bacterial SSU rRNA
Rfam family: Bacterial small subunit ribosomal RNA
Source: RNAcentral
CGGUGGAGCAUGUGGUUUAAUUCGAAGCAACGCGAAGAACCUUAACCAGGUCUUGACAUCCCGAUGCUAUUUCUAGAGAUAGAAAGUUACUUCGGUACAUCGGUGACAGGUGGUGGCAUGGUGUCGUCAGCUCGUGUCGUGAGAUGUUGGGUUAAGUCCCGCAACGAGCGCAACCCCUAUUGUUAGUUGCCAUCAUUCAGUUGGGCACUCUAGCGAGACUGCCGGUAAUAAACCGGAGGAAGUGGGGAUGACGUCAAAUCAUCAUGCCCCUUAUGACCUGGGCUACACACGUGCUACAAUGGUUGGUACAACGAGUUGCGAGUCGGUGACGGCGAGCUAAUCUCUUAAAGCCAAUCUCAGUUCGGAUUGUAGGCUGCAACUCGCCUACAUGAAGUCGGAAUCGCUAGUAAUCGCGGAUCAGCACGCCGCGGUCGAAUACGUUCCCGGGCCUU